Molecule: long non-coding RNA, 978 nt
Organism: Drosophila ananassae
Lineage: Eukaryota; Metazoa; Arthropoda; Insecta; Diptera; Drosophilidae
Exons: 2
Source: RefSeq, a predicted model, not a curated record
GGCGGAUAGUGGGUGGUGGUGCGGGAGUGCGAGAGUGCGGGUGGUGCGAGUGGUUCAAAGGUCGAAUUGGUGUUGGAACUGUUUCUGGUGCGUAUGCCGGAGUUUAAUCUUAUCGGCCGGGAUCGCUCCGCACACCCGGGUCCAGAACUACUUCAUUUGCCUCCUCGGGGGGAGACCACCCCACCCCACCGUUUCUCCGUGCGAGAGCGUAUUGCAUAAUUUCACAAUUUUCCAUUUUGAUGCUCGUUUUGCGCAGCCACCGCCACUGCCGCAGCCGCCGUCGAGAUGUUUGUCUAAUCAACUGUCAUUUGUUUGACGUUUCCCUCAGGGAAGUCGACAACGACAACUCCGGAGAGAGGCUGCGGCUGGGAAAUCAGACUGGGAAUGGCAAUGCGAAUGGUCUAGAACACAUUAUUCUCUCAGUGCUUGGCGUGGGGAUGACAAUCGGAUCCAAAACGCACCAGGACACGGAACGCCGUGCACUGCUUCGUAGGCCUCGGCACUCUUGAUGAUUACUGCGGGGUGCGGGGAUACGUGGGCUGCUCAGCGAAUUUCGAGGGUUCAGGGGUGCUCUGCCAUCCUGGACAAAAAAGUUAAAAGCCAAGUGUGUGCCUGUCUCCGAGCAAUUCCGUCCCCCUGCCACGCCGCAGUGCCACCAUCGACAAUGACAGCCAAAACGUAAACGCAAAGCCAAAUGUUGUUUUCAGUGAAUUUGAUGACUUUUAUGGGCGUUGAGACAAGAGAUCAGGCGUUUAAGAUGUCCAUGGGGUUGCCCAUUUCCCAUUGUCGUUGUUCCUACCGCUCGACUGCUUCCCGUCCUAGGGCUUUUGGUCGUUUGUUGGCCAGGCAAUUGGCCUAAGGCGCUUAAAAUGAUUUCUAAUUAGCCAAAAAACGAAUAAGAAAUGUCUCUCCAAUUUUUUUAAGGGGUUCAAUGGUGAUUUCAAAAAGUCUAUUCAAAUAUAUAUUUUCAAGAUUUAA